CCUACGGGUGGCAGCAGUAGGGAAUAUUGCUCAAUGGGGGAAACCCUGAAGCAGCAACGCCGCGUGGAGGAUGAAGGUCUUAGGAUUGUAAACUCCUUUUGUGAGAGAAGAUAAUGACGGUAUCUCACGAAUAAGUACUGGCUAACUCCGUGCCAGCAGCCGCGGUCAUACGGAGGGUGCAAGCGUUACUCGGAAUCACUGGGCGUAACGGGUGCGCAGGUGGGCGUGUAAGUCAGAUGUGAAAUCCUGUAGCUUAACUACGGAACUGCAUUUGACACUAGGGGUCUAGAGUGUGGGAGGGGAGGGUGGAAUUCUUGGUGUAGGGGUAAAAUCCGUAGAUAUCAAGAGGAAUACUCAUUGCGAAGGCGACCGACUGGGACGUAACUGACGCUCAUGCACGAAAGCGUGGGGAGCAAACAGGAUUAGAUACCCGAGUAGUC
RNAcentral lists this ribosomal RNA (440 nucleotides) under uncultured bacterium. RNAcentral's name for it is "partial 16S ribosomal RNA". It matches the Rfam family "Bacterial small subunit ribosomal RNA", at positions 338 to 795 of the family's 1533-position model. The record is from RNAcentral.